Molecule: transfer RNA, 71 nt
Organism: Ovis aries (sheep)
Lineage: Eukaryota; Metazoa; Chordata; Mammalia; Artiodactyla; Bovidae
Rfam family: tRNA
About the family: Transfer RNA (tRNA) molecules are approximately 80 nucleotides in length. Their secondary structure includes four short double-helical elements and three loops (D, anti-codon, and T loops). Further hydrogen bonds mediate the characteristic L-shaped molecular structure. tRNAs have two regions of fundamental functional importance: the anti-codon, which is responsible for specific mRNA codon recognition, and the 3' end, to which the tRNAs corresponding amino acid is attached (by aminoacyl-tRNA synthetases). tRNAs cope with the degeneracy of the genetic code in two manners: having more than one tRNA (with a specific anti-codon) for a particular amino acid; and 'wobble' base-pairing, i.e. permitting non-standard base-pairing at the 3rd anti-codon position.
Source: Rfam
UCCCUGGUGGUCUAGUGGCUAAGACUGAGCUCCUAUUGCAGGGGGUCCAGGUUCAAUCCCUGGUCAGGGAA